Long non-coding RNA from Thamnophis elegans (Western terrestrial garter snake), 775 nucleotides. RefSeq lists it as uncharacterized. The record is from RefSeq and is a predicted model, not a curated record. Lineage: Eukaryota; Metazoa; Chordata; Lepidosauria; Squamata; Natricidae. The transcript is spliced from 2 exons.
GUAGGGUAUGCGGCACCAUACGGAUACAACGCGGCAGCUGCCGCUGCGCCAGCUUACGGUCUACCCAAGAGAAUGCUCCUGUUGCCAGUUAUGAAAUUCCCAACUUUUCCAAUGCCCCAUUAUUCGUUCUUUUAGCCUUCGGCUGACUCCAACCCUCUCUUGACCGGCUUCCAUAAACCCAAGACAGGAUGUUAGAAGGAAAUGAGAUAACAGGACACACAGCUAGCCUACCUACCUUUUAAUCCUGGUUUCUUGGAAACACAAACACACUUGAGCAAAAGCAUUUGUAAAAAAAAAAAUAUCCAUCUUUUUCCAACUUUUUUUAAAAAAUUUAUUUUAUUUUAACGAAAUGCAAACUUAGUUCUCUCUUAAAAACUUGAAGAAGGAAAAAAAAAACCAACAUACAUGAAACUAUGGUCUGUGAAAAUGGUUACCUCAUUUUUUUUCUUCCCCUUCACCUCCAAAUAUAUAUAUAUAUACAUACAUACAUACAUAUCUCAACCUUAUGUGAUAGGGAAGAAACUUUAGAUGCUUUGUUUUUAACUGAACGGAAUUCCGAAUUAUGUAAAACCUUAAAACUUGUGAAGGAUGUAUAGACUAUAAAAAAAAAACUGAUCACAAAAUAAAACCAGUUUUUGUUGUAAUAGAGAAGUUUUUUUUUUUUUUGCCUGUUUCCUAAUACCAACCCCUUGGGACCAAACUUUAUAAUUUUAGGAUUAUGGGAUGCAGUUGCGUUUUUGGCUCGGGAUUUAUUUUUUUUAAAAGAAACUGACAU